Molecule: long non-coding RNA, 1389 nt
Organism: Sebastes umbrosus (honeycomb rockfish)
Lineage: Eukaryota; Metazoa; Chordata; Actinopteri; Perciformes; Sebastidae
Exons: 3
Source: RefSeq, a predicted model, not a curated record
CACUACUACUACUGUUUUAGAGCAGCGAAGGAGAACUGACUGCAGGUAGUUUGUCACAUGACGAUAGCAAACAACAACAGUGUGGUGCUAGAGGAGAGUGUAACGGUAGUCAGAGCGAGGGAAAUUUCACAGAGGAAAUUAACCCAGACAUAACCCUAACGCUUCCGUUUGGAGGAGUGGCACUAGUGUUGCCAAGCUAAGUUGCCAUUGGAUCGGUACUCGGUAUUGACCGAUGCCGCAAGUUCAGGUAUUUGAUUCAGUAUCAGGAAGGAAAAAAAUGGUAUCGGAACAUCUCUUCUUUGUAUUAGAGUUGUUCCGAUAUCAGUAUUAGAAAUGCGUCUGAUGCUGCCUAAUAUUCGGUAUCGGGUAUUGGCAAGUACGCCAGUCUACGCACCGACACAAUACCAUUAUUUAUUAACCCAGAACUUGUUUAACCGGAAAUCAGUUCAGGUAUCGGUAAGGAAUAAAUGGUAUCGGAACAUCUCUACUUAGUAUUAACUUUAACAGGAGCAAUUAAAGCAACCAAUUCCUCCACAGAGAAACAAGUGAUUGACCGUAGCACUUCCACAAAAACCUGAAGCUGCAAUAAGACAAAAAAUAAAUGUAUAUAUCUACACUCUUGGUGAUGUUUUCACUGGAUUUGUAAACUGCGGUUCCUUCAAUGAACUUUUCACGGGACCUUUUAGGACAGGUGGACGACUUUUACAGUGAUUUAUUUAGAUUUUUUUUUGUCAAAUCAAGGCGAAGGGCUUCAUAUCGAGACACAAACUCCCUUUAUGCCGGCCCUCUGCUAAUGUAUCACUAACAACCAGGACGCUGUCUGGGAGCUCAUACUGCACACUGUUUACCUAGCACUUAACAUCUGGAAGCAUGUAGCAUCCAUACAGGACAUUACAGUAGAUUACAUGUCUUCUUUCUACUGUCAAUAGUGUGCAUUAUGAGCAGGACAGAUCCGUGGAUGCAUUUUGAUGUGGAAUGAUUGCUGUUUUCUUUCUAACCUCUUCUUUUUUUCUGUCCCUGAUUCCACCGUGUAACUUAAAAAUGACAUGAAUAAAAUAAACUUUAGGGCUGUGUGAGAGCUGAGCUGUGAGUGUGUGGCGCUGGUUCGUGCACGAGGCCUCGGCGAAGUGAAAACAGGUGCGACACUCAUGAUGGACGCCAGAGUCUGUUGGGUUUGUCCAGAGUAUGUGCUGAGGUUUCCUCUCCUGGAUCAGCCGUCCUGAAGGUUGGCUUCCUCCUCCUCCUCUUCCUCGGGUACUACACUUGAGAUGGACGCCAGUGUCACGCUACCCCACCCGUACACCACCACCACCAGAUUUAGAAAUUGACAGGUAAAGUGAUGACAAUGAAAGAAACUAAAAAUAAAGUGAAAGCAAUAUUGUAAAUCUA